UACGAAGCGGGCUAGCGUUGUUCGGAAUCACUGGGCGUACAGCGCACGCAGGCGGAUCGAUAAGUCGGGGGUGAAAGCCCGGGGCUCAACCUCGGAAUUGCCUUCGAUACUGUCGGUCUCGAGUCCGGGAGAGGUGAGUGGAAUUCCUAGUGUAGAGGUGAAAUUCGUAGAUAUUAGGAAGAACACCAGUGGCGAAGGCGGCUCACUGGCCCGGUACUGACGCUCAGGUGUGAAAGCGUGGGGAGCAAACAGG
RNAcentral lists this ribosomal RNA (253 nucleotides) under uncultured bacterium. Its description in RNAcentral is "partial 16S ribosomal RNA". It matches the Rfam family "Bacterial small subunit ribosomal RNA", at positions 524 to 776 of the family's 1533-position model. The record is from RNAcentral.